Molecule: ribosomal RNA, 519 nt
Filed under: uncultured bacterium
Lineage: Bacteria
Description: bacterial SSU rRNA
Rfam family: Bacterial small subunit ribosomal RNA
Source: RNAcentral
AAUAGAUACCCGGGUAGUCCACGCCGUAAACGAUGGAUACUAGCUGUUGGGAGCAAUUUCAGUGGCUAAGCGAAAGUGAUAAGUAUCCCACCUGGGGAGUACGGGCGCAAGCCUGAAACUCAAAGGAAUUGACGGGGGCCCGCACAAGCGGUGGAGCAUGUGGUUUAAUUCGAUGAUACGCGAGGAACCUUACCAAGGCUUAAAUGUAGAUUGACAGAUUUGGAAACAGAUUUUUCUUCGGACAAUUUACAAGGUGCUGCAUGGUUGUCGUCAGCUCGUGCCGUGAGGUGUCAGGUUAAGUCCUAUAACGAGCGCAACCCCUGUUGUUAGUUGCCAGCGAGUGAUGUCGGGAACUCUAACGAGACUGCCAGUGCAAACUGUGAGGAAGGUGGGGAUGACGUCAAAUCAUCACGGCCCUUACGCCUUGGGCUACACACGUGCUACAAUGGCCGGUACAGAGAGCAGCCACUGGGUGACCAGGAGCGAAUCUAUAAAGCCGGUCACAGUUCGGAUCGAAGU